This 963-nucleotide ribosomal RNA is filed under the name Triticum aestivum (bread wheat). RNAcentral's name for it is "partial small subunit ribosomal RNA". The record is from RNAcentral. Lineage: Eukaryota; Viridiplantae; Streptophyta; Magnoliopsida; Poales; Poaceae.
AUGUGUGAUGGAAUAAAGGAUAAGCAGAUGGUGAGGUGGCAUAGGAACAGGGAGAGUGGAAAGAAAGCUAGAUGGGACAUAACACCCCAUUAUAGUGAGAAGCUAGAGGUUGAGAAGGAGAGGGCCAAAUAUUGCAAACCAAUUCAAGCUGGUGUGGACUUGUGGCAAGUUACAAGUGGGCAGCAAAUCCAUGCUGUUAACUUGCAAAUGCACACAUGUGGGUGCAGAAAAUGGGACCUAAGUGGCAUCCCAUGUAACCAUGCCAUCUCAGCAAUAAACAAGGCCAAAAGAAAACCAGAGGAUUAUGUCAGCAAGUUCUUCAAGAAAGAAAUUUAUCUGGUAGCUUAUGAACCAAUGAUCUAUCCAGUUCCUGGUGAGCAUGACUGGACAAGGACCCCUGGUCCAGACAUUGACCCACCUGCAUUUAAAGUGAAGAGAGGAAGAAAGAAAGAGAAGAGGAUCAAGGGGAAAUUUGAAGUUCCAAAGCCUAAGGUGACAUCAAGAAUGGGGACUAUAACAUGUGGCAAUUGUGGACUGCAAGGACAUAGGUACACAAGCUGCAACAAGCAGUUGAAGCCUGAGCUGGCUUUGAGGAAGAACAAACAUGUGCCUCUUGCAAGGAAUUCCAAUGCUGGUGCUGCUGCUACUACACCAGCAUCAAGAACUUCUCAUCCAACUCCUACAACAACACCAACAGCUGGAACAGGAGCUGGGAGAGGAGCUGGGAGAGGAGCUGGGAGAGGGGCUGCAGCUGCAGCUGCUGGGAGUGGUGCUGCUAGAGGUGCUGGUAGAGGUGCUGCACCAGGUGCUGGGAGAGGUGCUGGGAGAGGGAGAGGUACAUUCUCUGCCCCAAGGCAAUCUGGUCCCUCCACAUCUACUGCUCCCUCCACAUCUACUGCUGGGAGAGGUGCUGGUGGUACACAUAGUGGAUGGAGGAGCUACUUCUAUGCAAGUGGUAACUAG